UCUAUCCCAGUCUAAACCAGUAUAACCAGUGUAACCAGUUGUGGUGCAGGCGGUGGCCGUGGGGCGCCGGGGGCUGCUGGUUCUGGUGCGGAGGGGUCUGCGGGCUCUGUCCUGGCACUCCCUGGUGCUGCCCAGUCUAUCCCAGUCUAUCCCAGUCUAUCCCAGUCUAUCCCAGUCUAAACCAGUAUAACCAGUGUAACCAGUUGUGGUGCAGGCGGUGGCCGUGGGGCGCCGGGGGCUGCUGGUUCUGGUGCGGAGGGGUCUGCGGGCUCUGUCCUGGCACUCCCUGGUGCUGCCCAGUCUAUCCCAGUCUAUCCCAGUCUAUCCCAGUCUAUCCCAGUCUAACCAGUCAUAACCAGUGUAACCAGUUGUGGUGCAGGCGGUGGCCGUGGGGCGCCGGGGGCUGCUGGUUCUGGUGCGGAGGGGUCUGCGGGCUCUGUCCUGGCACUCCCUGGUGCUGCCCAGUCUAUCCCAGUCUAUCCCAGUCUAUCCCAGUCUAUCCCAGUCUAUCCCAGUAUAACCAGUGUAACCAGUUGUGGUGCAGGCGGUGGCCGUGGGGCGCCGGGGGCUGCUGGUUCUGGUGCGGAGGGGUCUGCGGGCUCUGUCCUGGCACUCCCUGGUGCUGCCCAGUCUAUCCCAGUCUAUCCCAGUCUAUCCCAGUCUAUCCCAGUCUAUCCCAGUCUAAACCAGUCUAACCAGUGUAACCAGUUGUGGUGCAGGCGGUGGCCGUGGGGCGCCGGGGGCUGCUGGUUCUGGUGCGGAGGGGUCUGCGGGCUCUGUCCUGGCACUCCCUGGUGCUGCCCAGUCUAUCCCAGUCUAUCCCAGUCUAUCCCAGUCUAUCCCAGUCUAUCCCAGUCUAAACCAGUAUAACCAGUGUAACCAGUUGUGGUGCAGGCGGUGGCCGUGGGGCGCCGGGGGCUGCUGGUUCUGGUGCGGAGGGGUCUGCGGGCUCUGUCCUGGCACUCCCUGGUGCUGCCCAGUCUAUCCCAGUCUAUCCCAGUCUAAACCAGUAUAACCAGUGUAACCAGUUGUGGUGCAGGCGGUGGCCGUGGGGCGCCGGGGGCUGCUGGUUCUGGUGCGGAGGGGUCUGCGGGCUCUGUCCUGGCACUCCCUGGUGCUGCCCAGUCUAUCCCAGUCUAUCCCAGUCUAUCCCAGUCUAUCCCAGUCUAUCCCAGUAUAUCCCAGUAUAACCAGUGUAACCAGUUGUGGUGCAGGCGGUGGCCGUGGGGCGCCGGGGGCUGCUGGUUCUGGUGCGGAGGGGUCUGCGGGCUCUGUCCUGGCACUCCCUGGUGCUGCCCAGUCUAUCCCAGUCUAUCCCAGUCUAUCCCAGUCUAUCCCAUAUAACCAGUAUAACCAGUGUAACCAGUUGUGGUGCAGGCGGUGGCCGUGGGGCGCCGGGGGCUGCUGGUUCUGGUGAGGAGGGGUCUGCGGGCUCUGUCCUGGCACUCCCUGGUGCUGCCCAGUCUAUCCCAGUCUAUCCCAGUCUAUCCCAGUCUAUCCCAGUCUAAACCAGUAUAACCAGUGUAACCAGUUGUGGUGCAGGCGGUGGCCGUGGGGCGCCGGGGGCUGCUGGUUCUGGUGCGGAGGGGUCUGCGGGCUCUGUCCUGGCACUCCCUGGUGCUGCCCAGUCUAUCCCAGUCUAUCCCAGUCUAUCCCAGUCUA
Long non-coding RNA from Myiozetetes cayanensis, 1662 nucleotides. RefSeq lists it as uncharacterized. Lineage: Eukaryota; Metazoa; Chordata; Aves; Passeriformes; Tyrannidae. The record is from RefSeq and is a predicted model, not a curated record. The transcript is spliced from 2 exons.